This is a long non-coding RNA of Pundamilia nyererei, 555 nucleotides long. RefSeq lists it as uncharacterized. The transcript has 3 exons. The record is from RefSeq and is a predicted model, not a curated record. Lineage: Eukaryota; Metazoa; Chordata; Actinopteri; Cichliformes; Cichlidae.
UUAAUUUAGUGACAGGGUUUAAUUUGGGACGAACGUUUGUCACCACAAAGUGCCGAGCUGUCGGAGAGACGUGUGGAGAAGGUACAGCAGAGACCGGUGUUCCUGCUGCCCAAUGACAUUCCAGCUCAAACAGCAAAAAUUAAAAGGACUCUGACAAAUAAAUAAGACAACACAUACCUCAUUUAUCCCAAAGGUACAGGACGACUUCACCACAUUGAGGGACCAAUGAGCAGGACCAUGUACAAUAAAAUCUUGGACAAUACCCUUGUUUGCUCACCCAGAACACUAAAGAUGGGUCAAGGAUGACUUUUCCAGCAUGGCAGUAGCCAAAACCAAGGCAACAAAGAAGCACAUUAAGAUUAUGGAGUAGCUUAGCCACUCUCCAAACUCUCUCAGUCCUAUAGAAAAUUGGUGGAGGGAGCUGAACCUUUGAGUUUCCAAGUUGCAGCCAAGAAACCUAAAAAAGUUUCUGUAAAGAGGAGCGGGCCGAAAUCCCUCCUCAGAUGUGCACAAACCUGGUGACCAACUACAAAAAAACUUCUUACCACCAUGCUU